CUACGGGACGCUGCAGUGGGGAAUAUUGGACAAUGGGGGAAACCCUGAUCCAGCAAUGCCGCGUGUGUGAAGAAGGCCUGCGGGUUGUAAAGCACUUUCGGUUGGGAGGACUGCUUCUAGCACUAAUAUUGUUGGAAGUUGACGUUACCUUCAGAAGAAGCACCGGCUAACUCCGUGCCAGCAGCCGCGGUAAUACGGAGGGUGCAAGCUUUAAUCGGAAUUACUGGGCGUAAAGCGCGCGUAGGCGGCUAGAUCAGUCGGGUGUGAAAGCCCCGGGCUUAACCUGGGAACUGCAUCCGAUACUGUCUAGCUUGAGUACAGGAGAGGAGAGUGGAAUUCCACAUGUAGCGGUGAGAUGCGUAGAUAUGUGGAGGAACACCAAUGGCGAAGGCAGCUCUCUGGCCUGAUACUGACGCUGAGGUGCGAAAGCGUGGGGAGCAAACAGGAUUAGAUACCCCAGUAGUC
This 465-nucleotide ribosomal RNA is filed under the name uncultured bacterium. RNAcentral describes it as "partial 16S ribosomal RNA". It matches the Rfam family "Bacterial small subunit ribosomal RNA", at positions 339 to 795 of the family's 1533-position model. The record is from RNAcentral.